This 74-nucleotide transfer RNA is filed under the name Acromastigum filum. RNAcentral's name for it is "partial tRNA-Leu". It matches the Rfam family "tRNA", at positions 12 to 71 of the family's 71-position model. Rfam says of the family: Transfer RNA (tRNA) molecules are approximately 80 nucleotides in length. Their secondary structure includes four short double-helical elements and three loops (D, anti-codon, and T loops). Further hydrogen bonds mediate the characteristic L-shaped molecular structure. tRNAs have two regions of fundamental functional importance: the anti-codon, which is responsible for specific mRNA codon recognition, and the 3' end, to which the tRNAs corresponding amino acid is attached (by aminoacyl-tRNA synthetases). tRNAs cope with the degeneracy of the genetic code in two manners: having more than one tRNA (with a specific anti-codon) for a particular amino acid; and 'wobble' base-pairing, i.e. permitting non-standard base-pairing at the 3rd anti-codon position. Lineage: Eukaryota; Viridiplantae; Streptophyta; Jungermanniopsida; Jungermanniales; Lepidoziaceae. The record is from RNAcentral.
AAAAUCGGUAGACGCUACGGACUUAAAAUCCGUUGGCUUUUUAGACCGUGAGGGUUCAAGUCCCUCUACCCCCA